This 497-nucleotide ribosomal RNA is filed under the name uncultured bacterium. RNAcentral's name for it is "partial 16S ribosomal RNA". It matches the Rfam family "Bacterial small subunit ribosomal RNA", at positions 28 to 507 of the family's 1533-position model. The record is from RNAcentral.
GAUGAACGCUGGCGGCGUGCCUAAUACAUGCAAGUCGAGCGAACAGACGCGGAGCUUGCUCCUCUGACGUUAGCGGCGGACGGGUGAGUAACACGUGGAUAACCUACCUAUAAGACUGGGAUAACUUCGGGAAACCGGAGCUAAUCCCGGAUAAUAUAUUGAACCGCAUGGUUCAAUAGUGAAAGACGGUUUUGCUGUCACUUAUAGAUGGUUCCGCGCCGCAUUAGCUAGUUGGUACGGUCACGGCUUACCAAGGCAACGAUGCGUAGCCAACCUGAGAGGGGGAUAGCCCACAUGGGAACGGAGACACGGACCAGGCGCCUACGGGAGGCAGCAGUAGGGAAUGUGCCGCAAUGGGCGAAAGCCUGGCGGAGCAACGCCACGUGAGUGAUGAAGGUCUUCGGAGCGUAAAACUCUGUUAUUAGGGAAGAACAAAUGUGUAAGUAACUAUGCACGUCUUGACGGUACCGAAUCAGAAAGCCACGGCUAACUACGUG